GAUGAACGCUGGCGGCGUGCCUAAUACAUGCAAGUCGAGCGAACAGACGAGGAGCUUUCUCCUCUGACUUUAUCGGCGGACGGGUGCUUCACACGUGUUUAACCUACCUAUCAGACUGGGAUAACUUCGGGAAACCGUAGCUAAUACCGGAUAAUAUAUUGACCCUCAUGGUUCACUAGUUAAAGACGGUUUUUCUUUCACUUAUAGCUUGAUCCGCCCCGCAUUAGCUAGUUGGUAAGGUAACUGCUUACCAAGGCAACGAUGCGUAGACGACCUGAGCGGGAGAUCGGCCACACGGGAACUGAGACGCGGCCCAGACUCCGACGGGAGGAAGCAGUAGGGAAUCUUACGCAAUGGGCGAAAGCCUGACGGAGCAAAGCGGCGUGAGGGAUGAAGGUGUAAGGAUCGUAAAACGAUGUUAUUAGGGAAGAACAAAUGUGUAAGUAACUAGGAAGGUCAUGACGGUACCGAAUCAGAAAGCUACGGCUAACUACGUG
RNAcentral lists this ribosomal RNA (497 nucleotides) under uncultured bacterium. RNAcentral describes it as "partial 16S ribosomal RNA". It matches the Rfam family "Bacterial small subunit ribosomal RNA", at positions 28 to 507 of the family's 1533-position model. The record is from RNAcentral.